RNAcentral lists this ribosomal RNA (407 nucleotides) under uncultured bacterium. Its description in RNAcentral is "bacterial SSU rRNA". It matches the Rfam family "Bacterial small subunit ribosomal RNA", at positions 354 to 777 of the family's 1533-position model. The record is from RNAcentral.
GUCGGGAAUAUUGCGCAAUGGAGGGAACUCUGACGCAGUGACGCCGCGUGCAGGAAGAAGGUUUUCGGAUUGUAAACUGCUUUAGACAGGGAAGAAAAAAGACAGUACCUGUAGAAUAAGCUCCGGCUAACUACGUGCCAGCAGCCGCGGUAAUACGUAGGGAGCAAGCGUUAUCCGGAUUUAUUGGGUGUAAAGGGUGCGUAGACGGAGGAGCAAGUUAGUUGUGAAAUCCCUCGGCUUAACUGAGGAACUGCAACUAAAACUACUUCCCUUGAGUACUGGAGGGGAAAGUGGAAUUCCUAGUGUAGCGGUGAAAUGCGUAGAUAUUAGGAGGAACACCAGUGGCGAAGGCGACUUUCUGGACAGUAACUGACGUUGAGGCACGAAAGUGUGGGGAGCAAACAGGA